CUAAAGCAGGCUCCACAUAGAGUGUGGAGCCCUACACAGGACUCAAUCUCACAACCGGGGCAUCAUGACCUGAGCUAAAAUAAAGUUGGGUAUUCAACCAACUGAGCCACCCAGGUGCCCCUGUAACUUUUCUUUCUAAACCAUGAGAAGAUUUAUGUGAUGUUUCAAGGCCUGAGGAAAAGUGACCAUUUGGCAGGUUUGGGUCAAUAGUCUGGCCUAAAGAUGUUGGAAUAGGCUUUUUAGAUUGAGGUUUGUGUUCAUGCAUCUUAUUUUCAGAUUAACAGUAUUCUGAAAAUACCCAGCCUUGUGUUCUCUUGUAAGGCUAGAGAUGAGAGGAUAUAAGGACCCCAGCACAUACUCAGUAAGAUUACCCUUUUGUCCUUCAAGAUUCUGCAUGGAAUGUAUUAGAUUUAAGUAGUGGUCCUCAACCUGAGGAGUUAAAAAGACAUGUACAGGCAAUAUCACAGGCCAAUUAAGUCAGAUUACGGAGGUAGGACCCAGACCUCAGUACCUUUUAAAGAUUCCCCAGGAGAUUCCGAGGUGCAGCAGCCAAGAUUGAGAUUUGAGAUCUGGUGCUGUCUAGACUGAGCCUAUCUUUUAGAAAUACAUUCAGAAGUCUAAAACAGACCUGUCUUCCUCCUGCCCCCUAUCCUCCAGCCUGGUGAGAUUGAAGUCUUUAAUGUGACAUGAGAUGUAAAAUUAGUCCUUUUUAUCCUGUUGUGUGAACUCUACAUGUGAAAUUUCUCACCUUCAAAUAGGAGUGAGGGCUGGGUCUCUUCCCUUCCUUGUCUUAAUGUCUUACAUGUUCUGCCUGGGUCCAUUUCAAGUUGUAACAGAGUAGACUCAAACUAUAGACAUUAACCUAUAAUUUCAGGUUUCUAGGAAUUUGCCUUUCAUGGUAUAGAAACCUUAGAUAUGCUGAGUAUUGCCAGAAUUAGUGGUUUUCUGCGUAUAUAAAGCAACCUUUUCUAAUGCACGUGCCUUCAUAUAGUGAAUAUAAAAGACUUCUGAUCCUGUUGUCUCGUGUAGGAUAAUCGCAUCUCAGAGUUGGGUGUGAGGAGUAGUUUGAUGGUUAAACCAUCUGUGUAAGGGCUUCUUCAAGAGGAAAAGUUGAAGGAGGAAAUAAAAAUCACCUGUAGUCACAACAACUAGAGAAAAUCUUUGUUCAUGGUUUGCUAUAUCCUGUCACAUAUACAAAAAAAAAUUAGCCAGGGGAUAAUGUGUCAACCUACUGGUUUCUUGUGUGUUUUUUGUUUUUGUUGUUGUUUUUAAGCUGGAGGAGGAAUACUAGCUGAUAGAAAUAAUUGGAUUGGGUGGGGAGAAGUGCUUUAAGAGGACUUCCUGGGAGUCAGGAGACCUGAAUUCUGGCUCUGGAUCCACCACUAAGUGGGUUUAGGGAAUAUCCCAAUGUUUCUUGAGCUUCAAUUCCCACUUGUGUAAAAUGAGUCGGAAGUAGGUGCUAUCUGAACUUUCUGAUCGUUCUGGGUACAAACAAGCUUCCCAAGGAGACGGAGUUUGGGAAAUGUAUAUAGUAGGGCGGGGGGCGGGGCCCAGUUGCGUUCACACUGCCCACGUUCUGUAAUCCCCCUCUUCAAUCUCCAAUUCCUCUUGCGUGGUCUCCUCUUGGUCAUCCUUCAUCUCACGGCCACGCAAGCAACUUCCCUCACAGCCCUAGGAGCCUACCCUAUUAGAUGGGGCCAUAGGGUUUGUGUCGCAGGAGUCUCUGACACGUCACAAUGCGCAGGGGAGCCCCUACCUAGGGCCCUCAAUUCCCACCAGAAAGGCCCUCGGAGGCUGUAGUGGUUGGGAUGUCGCGCGUGUGCGAGUGUCCUCUGCGGCUGGAAAAGGGCUUCAUCUUGGAUGGUGUGGCCGUGAGCACCAUGGCCCACACCUAUGAGCGCCUGAGGCCCAAGGUCUGGUCGGCGAUUCCGCCCUACAACGCCCAGCAGGACUACCACGCCCGCCGAUACUUCCGGAGCCGCGUGGUUCCGCCAGUGCUGCGCCGGACUGAACAGGAUCUCGGGGGCACAGGCAGGGAUGGCUGGAUAGUGGAUUAUUUCCACAUCUUCGGGCAAGGACAGAGAUACCUGAACCGGAGAAACUGGGCAGGGGCAGGCAAGUGCCACCUGGCUUUCCAGCCUCACCAUGGACCCACUUGGAAGAGCGAUGUGCAUUCCCCCAGUUCAGAGAGAGAAACCGGGCCACAGAGAGCCCUGUUUUCAGGGGAAGAGGCCCAAGGACUGCAUCCUCCAGCUUUUCUUCUCACGCAUGAGCAGAUGGUGUCACUGUGCUCCUUAUAUUUAGUGAUUGAGUGCCUACUGUAUGUCAGAUGCUUUCUGCCCUCACACUAUCCCUGUGCUACAGCCGGGGAAACGGAAGUUUAGGGUGGUAAAGUGAUUGGCCAAGAAGGGCUUAGCUGGGAUCAGAGUUCCGCUCUUUCCAACUCUAAAACCCAUGUUCCCCUCACUGCUCCCGGCCUGAGCUGGCUGUGUCCUGCUCCUUUUCCGAGCCCAACUUAGCAACAAGAAAGGAAGGGUUGAGAGCUGUUUUUCUGACAGUGUGAACCCUCCUCCCACCCAACCCCAUCGCCCUUUCACCACACUCUAGUCACAUGAUCCUAUGCACCAUUUGGCCAAAGUGAGCUCAUCCAUUUUCUCCAGAUGGGUCAGAAGCAAGGGUGAAAUGUUUUCAGUCUUCCUGGGAGCAAGGCAAGUUCGGCCAAGCCCAGAAUCUUCUGGCCCCUCCUGUGCUAGCACAUACCAUUCACGCUCCUCCUGUAUACUACUCGUGGUAUGUGGUUUGGUUUCUAGAAAGCUGUCUCCGUGACUUCAUCAACCCUUGGCUUUUAAUCAAGACCCUUGAGACACUCCAGGAUUGAGGGCAUUCCCUCCAGCAGGUGACAGGGCAUGAUAACUACAAUGCUGAUCUGAAAAUGAUCAACGGGUUCAAUGGUCGGUUUGGCUAUCGCAGGAACACCCCAGACCUCCGCCAGCGCCCAUCGGUCUUUGGAGAGGUCACCCG
Molecule: RNA transcript, 3021 nt
Organism: Felis catus (domestic cat)
Lineage: Eukaryota; Metazoa; Chordata; Mammalia; Carnivora; Felidae
Gene: SPMAP1
Gene name: chromosome E1 C17orf98 homolog
Exons: 3
Source: RefSeq, a predicted model, not a curated record